This 94-nucleotide transfer RNA is filed under the name Thermopolyspora flexuosa. Its description in RNAcentral is "tRNA-Ile". The record is from RNAcentral. Lineage: Bacteria; Bacillati; Actinomycetota; Actinomycetes; Streptosporangiales; Streptosporangiaceae.
CCGCUGGUGCGGGUUCGGCCAGGCCGGCUCGGCCGUGAUCGGGCUGGCGAUCGGGAUCAGCCUGGUCGGCUGGUUCGGCAUCCAGUCGGCGGUC